GGGCCUGUAGCUCAUCUGGGAGAGCGCUACAAUCGCACUGUAGAGGCAAAGGGUUCGAAUCCCUUCAGGUCCACCA
This 76-nucleotide transfer RNA is filed under the name Chloroflexota bacterium. RNAcentral's name for it is "Chloroflexi bacterium (groundwater metagenome) tRNA-Ala". It matches the Rfam family "tRNA". From Rfam's summary of the family: Transfer RNA (tRNA) molecules are approximately 80 nucleotides in length. Their secondary structure includes four short double-helical elements and three loops (D, anti-codon, and T loops). Lineage: Bacteria; Bacillati; Chloroflexota. The record is from RNAcentral.